This 379-nucleotide ribosomal RNA is filed under the name uncultured cyanobacterium. RNAcentral describes it as "bacterial SSU rRNA". It matches the Rfam family "Bacterial small subunit ribosomal RNA", at positions 376 to 770 of the family's 1533-position model. Lineage: Bacteria; Bacillati; Cyanobacteriota. The record is from RNAcentral.
CGAAAGCCUGACGGAGCAACGCCGCGUGUGGGAAGAAGGCCUUUGGGCUGUCAACCACUUUUCUCAGGGAAGAAGUUCUGACGGUACCUGAGGAAUCAGCCUCGGCUAACUCCGUGCCAGCAGCCGCGGUAAUACGGAGGAGGCAAGCGUUAUCCGGAAUUAUUGGGCGUAAAGCGUCCGCAGGGGGUCUUCCAAGUCUGCUGUCAAAGCCCGGGGCUCAACCCCGACGCGGCAGUGGAAACUGGGAGGCUAGAGUACGGCAGGGGUAGAGGGAAUUCCCAGUGUAGCGGUGAAAUGCGUAGAGAUUGGGAAGAACACCGGUGGCGAAAGCGCUCUACUGGGUCGCACCUGACCCUCAGGGACGAAAGCUAAGGUAGCG